AGUAGGGAAUCUUCGGCAAUGGGGGCAACCCUGACCGAGCAACGCCGCGUGAGUGAAGAAGGUUUUCGGAUCGUAAAACUCUGUUGUAAGUCAAGAACGAGUGUGAGAGUGGAAAGUUCACACUGUGACGGUAGCUUACCAGAAAGGGACGGCUAACUACGUGCCAGCAGCCGCGGUAAUACGUAGGUCCCGAGCGUUGUCCGGAUUUAUUGGGCGUAAAGCGAGCGCAGGCGGUUUGAUAAGUCUGAAGUUAAAGGCUGUGGCUCAACCAUAGUUCGCUUUGGAAACUGUCAAACUUGAGUGCAGAAGGGGAGAGUGGAAUUCCAUGUGUAGCGGUGAAAUGCGUAGAUAUAUGGAGGAACACCGGUGGCGAAAGCGGCUCUCUGGUCUGUAACUGACGCUGAGGCUCGAAAGCGUGGGGAGCGAA
Molecule: ribosomal RNA, 427 nt
Filed under: uncultured Streptococcus sp.
Lineage: Bacteria; Bacillati; Bacillota; Bacilli; Lactobacillales; Streptococcaceae
Description: bacterial SSU rRNA
Rfam family: Bacterial small subunit ribosomal RNA
Source: RNAcentral